UUUCCGUAGGUGAACCUGCGGAGGGAUCAUUACCGAGUAAGGUCCUUCAGGACUUUCUUAUCCCAACCCCUGUGAAAAUUACUUUUUGCUGUCGGCAUUUAAUUAUUCCCAAACAUCAAAACAACUACCUUCUGUUUCGUUUGAAUGUAUAUCUCAAUCUCAACCCUUUCAAAAACGGUUCUCUUGGUUCUCGCCUCGGUGAAGAAUCCAGCAGAAAGGUAGAGCACCGGUCUCCACUACCUCCUCUCAACACUAUUCUUCCUGCCGGCUGCUGAGUGA
Molecule: unclassified non-coding RNA, 279 nt
Filed under: plant metagenome
Description: partial contains small subunit ribosomal RNA, internal transcribed spacer 1, and 5.8S ribosomal RNA
Source: RNAcentral